This 301-nucleotide ribosomal RNA is filed under the name uncultured bacterium. RNAcentral's name for it is "partial 16S ribosomal RNA". It matches the Rfam family "Bacterial small subunit ribosomal RNA", at positions 509 to 807 of the family's 1533-position model. The record is from RNAcentral.
CAGUCGCUGCGGUAAUACGUAGGGUGCAAGCGUUAAUCGGAAUUACUGGGCGUAAAGCGUGCGCAGGCGGUUAUAUAAGACAGAUGUGAAAUCCCCGGGCUCAACCUGGGAACUGCAUUUGUGACUGUAUAGCUAGAGUACGGCAGAGGGGGAUGGAAUUCCGCGUGUAGCAGUGAAAUGCGUAGAUAUGCGGAGGAACACCGAUGGCGAAGGCAAUCCCCUGGGCCUGUACUGACGCUCAUGCACGAAAGCGUGGGGAGCAAACAGGAUUAGAUACCCGCGUAGUCCCUGUCUCUUAUAC